AAGCGUUAUCCGGAAUUAUUGGGCGUAAAGAGCUCGUAGGCGGUUUGUCGCGUCUGCCGAGAAAGUCCGGGGCUCAACUCCGGAUCUGCGGUGGGUACGGGCAGACUAGAGUGAUGUAGGGGAGACUGGAAUUCCUGGUGUAGCGGUGAAAUGCGCAGAUAUCAGGAGGAACACCGAUGGCGAAGGCAGGUCUCUGGGCAUUAACUGACGCUGAGGAGCGAAAGCAUGGGGAGCGAACAGG
Molecule: ribosomal RNA, 241 nt
Filed under: uncultured bacterium
Lineage: Bacteria
Description: partial 16S ribosomal RNA
Rfam family: Bacterial small subunit ribosomal RNA
Source: RNAcentral